Ailuropoda melanoleuca (giant panda) is the source of this 104-nucleotide small nuclear RNA. The record is from Ensembl. NCBI's taxonomy places the organism in Eukaryota, Metazoa, Chordata, Mammalia, Carnivora, Ursidae.
GUGCUUGCUUCGGCAGCACUCAUGCUGGAGUUGGAACGAUAAAGAGAUUACCACUGCCCCUGCACAAGGAUGGCACAGAAAUUUGUGAAGCAUUCCAUAUUUUA